This 2004-nucleotide long non-coding RNA is filed under the name Homo sapiens (human). RNAcentral's name for it is "Pvt1 oncogene, transcript variant 43 (PVT1)". The stretch from base 34 to 211 matches the Rfam family "Pvt1 oncogene conserved region 1". Lineage: Eukaryota; Metazoa; Chordata; Mammalia; Primates; Hominidae. The record is from RNAcentral.
CCCGCGCUCCUCCGGGCAGAGCGCGUGUGGCGGCCGAGCACAUGGGCCCGCGGGCCGGGCGGGCUCGGGGCGGCCGGGACGAGGAGGGGCGACGACGAGCUGCGAGCAAAGAUGUGCCCCGGGACCCCCGGCACCUUCCAGUGGAUUUCCUUGCGGAAAGGAUGUUGGCGGUCCCUGUGACCUGUGGAGACACGGCCAGAUCUGCCCUCCAGCCUGAUCUUUUGGCCAGAAGGAGAUUAAAAAGAUGCCCCUCAAGAUGGCUGUGCCUGUCAGCUGCAUGGAGCUUCGUUCAAGUAUUUUCUGAGCCUGAUGGAUUUACAGUGAUCUUCAGUGGUCUGGGGAAUAACGCUGGUGGAACCAUGCACUGGAAUGACACACGCCCGGCACAUUUCAGGAUACUAAAAGUGGUUUUAAGGGAGGCUGUGGCUGAAUGCCUCAUGGAUUCUUACAGCUUGGAUGUCCAUGGGGGACGAAGGACUGCAGCUGGCUGAGAGGGUUGAGAUCUCUGUUUACUUAGAUCUCUGCCAACUUCCUUUGGGUCUCCCUAUGGAAUGUAAGACCCCGACUCUUCCUGGUGAAGCAUCUGAUGCACGUUCCAUCCGGCGCUCAGCUGGGCUUGAGCUGACCAUACUCCCUGGAGCCUUCUCCCGAGGUGCGCGGGUGACCUUGGCACAUACAGCCAUCAUGAUGGUACUUUAAGUGGAGGCUGAAUCAUCUCCCCUUUGAGCUGCUUGGCACGUGGCUCCCUUGGUGUUCCCCUUUUACUGCCAGGACACUGAGAUUUGGAGAGAGUCUCACUCUGUGGUCCAGGCUGAAGUACAGUGGCAUGAUCCCAGGUCACUGCAACCCCCACCUCCCGGGUUCAAGUGAUCCUCCUGCCUCAGCCUCCCGAGUAGCUGGUAUUACAGGCGUGUGCCACAAAGCCUGGCUAAGUUUUGUAUUUUUAGUAGAGACGGGGUUUCACCAUGUUGGCCAGGUUGGUCUCGAACUCCUGACCUCAAGUGAUCCACUCACUUUGGCCUUUCAACGUGCUGGGAUUACAGGCGAGAGUCACCGCACCCGGACGACUCUGACAUUUUUGAAGAGUCCAGAAUCCUGUUACACCUGGGAUUUAGGCACUUUCAAUCUGAAAAAAUACAUAUCCUUUCAGCACUCUGGACGGACUUGAGAACUGUCCUUACGUGACCUAAAGCUGGAGUAUUUUGAGAUUGGAGAAUUAAGGCCAACAGAGAUUUUGAGAAACACAUUGAAGGAUCUGUUAACACUUGAUAUACCCAAUAAAAGCAGUGGUUGUGCCAGUGCUGAUCUGUCUUGAUGUGAAUGUGAACAAUGGGAACCUGAGCUGAGCAGUUAAUGCUAGGGUGACAGAAACUGGACCUCUCCCAAGACAUGUGACAGAGUAAUACAGCAGCCAACUUCUUCGCCAAAUUAAAGUUUUACAAGAUUUAACCUGUCAUCAAGACCUGGGAUUUUGGUGAGCCAGUCUUGGUGCUCUGUGUUCACCUGGUUCAUCUGAGGAGCUGCAUCUACCCUGCCCAUGCCAUAGAUCCUGCCCUGUUUGCUUCUCCUGUUGCUGCUAGUGGACAUGAGAAGGACAGAAUAACGGGCUCCCAGAUUCACAAGCCCCACCAAGAGGAUCACCCCAGGAACGCUUGGAGGCUGAGGAGUUCACUGAGGCUACUGCAUCUUGAGACUCAGGAUGAAGACCCAGCUUGGGGCUGUCAAAGGUUUUUUGCAUGUCUGACACCCAUGACUCCACCUGGACCUUAUGGCUCCACCCAGAAGCAAUUCAGCCCAACAGGAGGACAGCUUCAACCCAUUACGAUUUCAUCUCUGCCCCAACCACUCAGCAGCAAGCACCUGUUACCUGUCCACCCCCACCCCUUCCCCCAAACUGCCUUUGAAAAAUCCCUAACCUAUGAGCUUUGAAUAAGAUGAGUACGAACUUCAUCGCCCACGUGGCGUGGCCGGCCUCGUGUCUAUUAAAUUCUUUUUCUACUACAA